AGUGAACGCUGGCGGUAGGCCUAACACAUGCAAGUCGAACGGCAGCACAGGAGAACUUGCUCUCUGGGUGGCGAGUGGCGGACGGGUGAGGAAUACAUCGGAAUCUACUCUGUCGUGGGGGAUAACGUAGGGAAACUUACGCUAAUACCGCAUACGACCUACGGGUGAAAGCAGGGGACCUUCGGGCCUUGCGCGAUUGAAUGAGCCGAUGUCGGAUUAGCUAGUUGGCGGGGUAAAGGCCCACCAAGGCGACGAUCCGUAGCUGGUCUGAAGGGUUGAUCAGCCAGACUGGAACUGAGACACGGUCCAGACUCCUACGGGAGGCAGCAGUGGGGAAUAUUGGACAAUGGGCGCAAGCCUGAUCCAGCCAUACCGCGUGGGUGAAGAAGGCCUUCGGGUUGUAAAGCCCUUUUGUUGGGAAAGAAAUCCAGCUGGCUAAUACCCGGUUGGGAUGACGGUACCCAAAGAAUAAGCACCGGCUAACUUCGUGCCAGCAGCCGCCGUAA
This 506-nucleotide ribosomal RNA is filed under the name uncultured bacterium. Its description in RNAcentral is "partial 16S ribosomal RNA". It matches the Rfam family "Bacterial small subunit ribosomal RNA", at positions 29 to 523 of the family's 1533-position model. The record is from RNAcentral.